UUCAUUGAAGCCGUGCUGUCAUGUCAAGAAUUGCAAACAUGUAUAUCUCUGUUCAAAAUUUAGCAGCAGGACCAAUGAAACACUCUGGAAAAAGUUGUUAACUGGAUAAAGAAGUUGAUGAGUGCUUGCUGUAACGUGUACGUGCUGUGGAAGUCGUUAAUUUUGAGACAGCAAUCAAGAUCGAGGUGUCAGUCAGCAAAACUGAGAAACGAAACAAGCUAAUUACAUAAGUUCCUUAGAGCUACUGACUAUCUGUGACUAGAGGAUUAUAAAUUCUUUCAGGUAAGGAUUCAAGCCACGAAAUCUUGAAAAUCCAGUAACUUCUUGAGGAAAAUGCGCUUAAAAGAUGGCCAUGAAAGACCGUAAAUCCAUGAUUUACUGAGUGAGUUCUUCCCCAAAUGAAAGNGAAUUGAAGUUCUCCAUUUGUCGCGUUAUCGACGCAUCACGACUCAAGCCGAACACCUACAACAACAAUGGCGACGAGUAAGAUCAACACUACACAACAAGAAGUACAAGAACCUGUCCAUUCUGUAGAAGCAGGAAUUAUCAUCGAGUCGUUUUUUCUCUGCGUAUUGGCUCUUAUCAUUCUCUUUGGGAAUAUUCUGGUUUGUUUGGCGUUUUACAAGGAUAGAAAGCUUCGUACGACGACCAAUUGUUUUAUAGUGAGCCUCGCGAUUGCGGACAUUGCAGUUGGAUCUUUUUCCCUUCCGUACUGGAUCUACUUCAGAAUAGGUAAGAAUUAAAAUAGGCCUUCUGUAUAACUAUUCAAGGGGAACAGAGCAGAGGGAAGAGCUCCGAGUUCAAAACUAGUAGAUUAUUAAACUGCUCGCUCUUUGAAAUUGGUUUCCCUGCCGCGCGAGCUGUUGAGUUGAUCUUUACAUCGUGGAAUUUGAUCUGACUUAAGUAUGACGGGCUGAAAACUUCUGUUUAAAGUGGGGACUUUUAUCAGCCCGAGG
RNAcentral lists this long non-coding RNA (956 nucleotides) under Actinia tenebrosa (Australian red waratah sea anemone). Its description in RNAcentral is "uncharacterized LOC116299822, transcript variant X2". The record is from RNAcentral. Lineage: Eukaryota; Metazoa; Cnidaria; Anthozoa; Actiniaria; Actiniidae.